Molecule: ribosomal RNA, 2737 nt
Filed under: Vibrio cholerae
Lineage: Bacteria; Pseudomonadati; Pseudomonadota; Gammaproteobacteria; Vibrionales; Vibrionaceae
Description: 23S ribosomal RNA
Rfam family: Bacterial large subunit ribosomal RNA
Source: RNAcentral
UCAAAUUUGAGUCCUAGGUUAACAGAGCAAACCGGGGGAACUGAAACAUCUAAGUACCCCGAGGAGAAGAAAUCAACCGAGAUUCCGGUAGUAGCGGCGAGCGAACCUGGAUUAGCCCUUAAGCACUCGGUGAAGUAGGUGAACAAGCUGGAAAGCUUGGCGAUACAGGGUGAUAGCCCCGUAACCGACGCUUCAUCGAGCGUGAAAUCGAGUAGGGCGGGACACGUGAUAUCCUGUCUGAAUAUGGGGGGACCAUCCUCCAAGGCUAAAUACUCCUGACUGACCGAUAGUGAACCAGUACCGUGAGGGAAAGGCGAAAAGAACCCCUGUGAGGGGAGUGAAAUAGAACCUGAAACCGUGUACGUACAAGCAGUAGGAGCACCUUCGUGGUGUGACUGCGUACCUUUUGUAUAAUGGGUCAGCGACUUAUAUUCAGUGGCAAGGUUAACCGUAUAGGGGAGCCGUAGCGAAAGCGAGUCUUAACUGGGCGCUCAGUCUCUGGAUAUAGACCCGAAACCGGGUGAUCUAGCCAUGGGCAGGUUGAAGGUUGAGUAACAUCAACUGGAGGACCGAACCGACUAAUGUUGAAAAAUUAGCGGAUGACUUGUGGCUAGGGGUGAAAGGCCAAUCAAACUCGGAGAUAGCUGGUUCUCCCCGAAAGCUAUUUAGGUAGCGCCUCGGACGAAUACUACUGGGGGUAGAGCACUGUUAAGGCUAGGGGGUCAUCCCGACUUACCAACCCUUUGCAAACUCCGAAUACCAGUAAGUACUAUCCGGGAGACACACGGCGGGUGCUAACGUCCGUCGUGGAGAGGGAAACAACCCAGACCGCCAGCUAAGGUCCCAAAGUAUUGCUAAGUGGGAAACGAUGUGGGAAGGCUCAGACAGCUAGGAUGUUGGCUUAGAAGCAGCCAUCAUUUAAAGAAAGCGUAAUAGCUCACUAGUCGAGUCGGCCUGCGCGGAAGAUGUAACGGGGCUAAGCAAUACACCGAAGCUGCGGCAAUAUCUUUUAGAUAUUGGGUAGGGGAGCGUUCUGUAAGCCGUUGAAGGUGAAUCGUAAGGUUUGCUGGAGGUAUCAGAAGUGCGAAUGCUGACAUGAGUAACGACAAAGGGGGUGAAAAACCUCCUCGCCGGAAGACCAAGGGUUCCUGUCCAACGUUAAUCGGGGCAGGGUGAGUCGACCCCUAAGGUGAGGCCGAAAGGCGUAAUCGAUGGGAAACGGGUUAAUAUUCCCGUACUUCUGACUAUUGCGAUGGGGGGACGGAGAAGGCUAGGUGGGCCAGGCGACGGUUGUCCUGGUUCAAGUGCGUAGGCUUGAGAGUUAGGUAAAUCCGGCUCUCUCUAAGGCUGAGACACGACGUCGAGCUGCUACGGCAGUGAAGUCAUUGAUGCCAUGCUUCCAGGAAAAGCCUCUAAGCUUCAGAUAGUCAGGAAUCGUACCCCAAACCGACACAGGUGGUCGGGUAGAGAAUACCAAGGCGCUUGAGAGAACUCGGGUGAAGGAACUAGGCAAAAUGGUACCGUAACUUCGGGAGAAGGUACGCUCUUGAUGGUGAAGUCCCUCGCGGAUGGAGCUGACGAGAGUCGCAGAUACCAGGUGGCUGCAACUGUUUAUUAAAAACACAGCACUGUGCAAAAUCGCAAGAUGACGUAUACGGUGUGACGCCUGCCCGGUGCCGGAAGGUUAAUUGAUGGGGUUAGCGCAAGCGAAGCUCUUGAUCGAAGCCCCGGUAAACGGCGGCCGUAACUAUAACGGUCCUAAGGUAGCGAAAUUCCUUGUCGGGUAAGUUCCGACCUGCACGAAUGGCGUAAUGAUGGCCACGCUGUCUCCACCCGAGACUCAGUGAAAUUGAAAUCGCUGUGAAGAUGCAGUGUACCCGCGGCUAGACGGAAAGACCCCGUGAACCUUUACUACAGCUUGGCACUGAACAUUGAACCUACAUGUGUAGGAUAGGUGGGAGGCUAUGAAAACGUGACGCCAGUUGCGUUGGAGCCGUCCUUGAAAUACCACCCUUGUAUGUUUGAUGUUCUAACUUAGACCCGUUAUCCGGGUUGAGGACAGUGCCUGGUGGGUAGUUUGACUGGGGCGGUCUCCUCCCAAAGAGUAACGGAGGAGCACGAAGGUGGGCUAAUCACGGUUGGACAUCGUGAGGUUAGUGCAAUGGCAUAAGCCCGCUUAACUGCGAGAAUGACGGUUCGAGCAGGUGCGAAAGCAGGUCAUAGUGAUCCGGUGGUUCUGUAUGGAAGGGCCAUCGCUCAACGGAUAAAAGGUACUCCGGGGAUAACAGGCUGAUACCGCCCAAGAGUUCAUAUCGACGGCGGUGUUUGGCACCUCGAUGUCGGCUCAUCACAUCCUGGGGCUGAAGUCGGUCCCAAGGGUAUGGCUGUUCGCCAUUUAAAGUGGUACGCGAGCUGGGUUUAGAACGUCGUGAGACAGUUCGGUCCCUAUCUGCCGUGGGCGUUGGAAGAUUGAAGGGGGCUGCUCCUAGUACGAGAGGACCGGAGUGGACGAACCUCUGGUGUUCGGGUUGUGUCGCCAGACGCAUUGCCCGGUAGCUAAGUUCGGAAUUGAUAAGCGCUGAAAGCAUCUAAGCGCGAAGCGAGCCCUGAGAUGAGUCUUCCCUGAUACUUUAAGUAUCCUAAAGGGUUGUUCGAGACUAGAACGUUGAUAGGCAGGGUGUGUAAGCGUUGUGAGGCGUUGAGCUAACCUGUACUAAUUGCCCGUGAGGCUUAACCA